Non-coding RNA from Musa acuminata subsp. malaccensis (wild Malaysian banana), 1309 nucleotides. The record is from RefSeq and is a predicted model, not a curated record. Lineage: Eukaryota; Viridiplantae; Streptophyta; Magnoliopsida; Zingiberales; Musaceae.
AUCAAAGGUAACAUCUGCGGGAUUUGCUCUCGCAUCGGCGAGAAGACCUCAGUCGAGAGCCAUUCCACCAUUUGCUUUUGUACAGUGCGAAGAAUGCCCUAAGCGAAGACCUUUGGGUUUCUCCUACCAAAACUUCUCUGGUUGCUGUCAGUUGCAUCCGUCUGCUGUUCAGUUGAGAGCCUUCCUCUAUUGCUAUUUGAAACCCUUCAUUGGGUAUUCGCGAUGGGUCUCAGCAAGACUGAAAUCGAUUUGAUAAGAUUGUUGGAAGCUGCUUCUAGACAACAGAAUCAAACAAAGCUCGUACAUGGAUUCGACAAUGCUGCAGGGAUUCGACGAUGCCAGUAAAGUUGGAUGCAGGAGCACUGACUAGCAUUGAGAAAAUUAGGUGUAUCAUGUGCUUGUUUAUACAUAUGUUGUGUUUUGGUUUCUGCUAUCUUGAGUGAUAAAUUUCAUUGUGGCAAUGCAUGCAUGCUAGUGAGAACUAUACAUCUUGAGUGAAAAUUAAAUUUGGCCUUCAAUUUAUCCUUUUGUGAUAUUAUGGAGAACAUGAUUACCUUAUCAAAAAUUGUCUGUUGAGCAAAUAUUACUUUUUGAUGAGUGCUGUAUAUAAUUUAUACCUCAACAACUGUAGUCUUUGAUAAGAGUGGGAAGGUGCGUCUAUGUUUCGGUUUUUCUGUAGGAAAAUUUGAACUUCUUGGUAAAUUUCCUGGUUGUCAGUAGAUGAUGGUACAGAGUAGGCUCGUGUUUUCCUAGUGUCAUUUUGUUGCCAGGGGCCCAUUCACUUGUUUUGACUACCUUUUCCAGUCACUUAACAGCCAGAUUUAAAAUUGAUAUUUUUGUCUAAUAAUAGAAAAUUUAUUUUGAACCUUUUGUUGUCAUUUUCUCAUAGAACAGAAAGCUUCAAGAAGAUUUGACAGACGAUAUGGUUGGCUUAGCACGACAGCUGAAGGAAAGCAGUCUCUUAAUGGUCCAAUCUUUGCAAGACACGGAGAAGAGCUUUCUACAGUGGAUAACCCCUGAAGUUUUCAAUUUUAGGUACUGUAAUCAUUCAUUUCGAUUUUUCGGUCGGUCCCUACUGGAAUAUCGAUCUGCAUGUUGGUAAAUACCGGUCGAUACAGUGAAAUUGAAUUGGUUGCUACCUAUAUAAUUUGAUACACUGUUUUCUUACCAUUAAAAUUUUCUUAUUUUUAUAACAUAAUUUGAUGGCAUGACAUUUAUUGUCAUUUCCAAAUGGUAACGCUUUCUGUGACCUCGGUAUCUGCAUCUUUGUCAGCAAUUCCUUUUUGUCUAAAUUUCGUAUGAGAUCUUA